Molecule: transfer RNA, 64 nt
Filed under: Scaphisoma boleti
Lineage: Eukaryota; Metazoa; Arthropoda; Insecta; Coleoptera; Staphylinidae
Description: tRNA-Leu
Source: RNAcentral
UCUAAUAUGGCAGAUUAGUGCCAUGGAUUUAAACCCCAUUUAUAAAGGUUGACUUUUUUUAGAA